Zea mays is the source of this 1709-nucleotide long non-coding RNA. RefSeq lists it as uncharacterized. Lineage: Eukaryota; Viridiplantae; Streptophyta; Magnoliopsida; Poales; Poaceae. The record is from RefSeq and is a predicted model, not a curated record. The transcript is spliced from 2 exons.
UAAAAAGGAUCACUGAAACAACUAUUCUUGAAACACUUGAGAUUUAGCUGUCACUUUACUUCUCGUCAGUAUUUAAAUUCUUCAACAGUCAACAGAGUUAAGCUAGUGCUCCAGAGAUAAAUGGAAAUAGAGAUGAAAGCAAGGAUUGAAGAUUCCGUUCAUUGGGCGAUGUUUCCGUAAUAGCGAUAUCACUUAUGACUGUUUCUGAUAAUUAUCGCAUAUUCACAAUUCAAGUUUUAAUUUUUCUAAUUUCAUGUACCAUAUUGAUGUUGUAAAUAAAUAGUUAGAAUGAAAACAUGGUGAGUUUCUACUGACCAGGAACCAUUUCCAAAUUGUAAAUAUCAUAACCAACCAUUUCUGAUCAUUUUCAUACUUAGAAGGACACCAUUAUUCAUUGAGUUUAUAUGAAACUUUUUUCCUUGAAUACAAAGAAUUCCCAUUGCAUUACAAACAUGAAUUUUUUGCCAAACAACAGGAGAGCUGCAUAUCAUUAUAUCAAGAAUAAAAAAUGGGAAAUAAGCCUUACAACACACACACACACACUGACUCACCAAAAUCUAUACUAUACUUAAAGCACCAGUUUCAACGGUUGUCGUGCGUCAUUUUUUUACAAAAAUCACCCUCAGUUUUUCUCAGGUUAACCCGCAGUCCCUCAUCCCACGCCUCCCUCCUUAUCUCAACCGCACGCAAAACCCUAGCCUCUCUCACGCCAUACCUCCUCUCUCGCUGAUCCCCGCGCACAGCCACCACGCCAUCAACCCAGGCUCCCUCGCCCCACACCUGCCGCAUUGAGCCAGCCCCGCGGGCCAGUAGCGCGUUGAGCUCCAAUAGGUAUGGAGAUCCUCUUCUCUCCCCCUCUUCCUCCGAUGCGCCGGUGACGUGUUGAGCUCCAAUAUGUAUGAAGUUCCUCUUCUCUCCCCCUCUUCCUUUGCAAGUUUGAUUAGAAGUGAGUAGAUUCUUCUCCCGCAGCCGUCGCCGCCGUCCCACGCAUCCCACAACUGCCACCAACUGCCACACAUCGCCUAGACCCACACGCCUCCCUUGCAAUCUCCCACAGCCUCUGCUCCAUCUCCACCUUCGCGCCCACCUGCUAGCCCUAGCGUCGCCUACUCCCUGCCUUCGCUCCUCCUCGAUCUAGGCGGCGCGGACGUGGCGCGGACGUGGGGAAGGACGACCCCGUGGACGUGUUGUGGCGGUGGAGGAGCCAUAGCCAACCCGGGAUCAUGCGCAGACCUGAGCGUUCAACGACGGUGGGGACACGCCGCUGCAGGUGGCGCCUGCCAUCUACGACGAGGCCAUGUUUCUUUAAUAGCUCUAUUGUCAUGGGCUACUACAAGAACCACGUCAAGACAAGCCUAAGGAUGUGACGAGGUGUUGUUGUUAUGGAUUCACAACUUUCUUUAUGACUCGAAGAUCUUUGGGAAUCAUUCAAGGAAUGGAGUGCUUAUGGGCCCGGUGUUCCACUGGUGCUGAAUGGCAGUGACUCUGUGAUCCAACUAUUUGCAAACACAUCGAGACCCACUUCAAGAAAUAAGUGCGUCCUAUUCUUUGUCACAAAUAAUCAUGGUGUCAAGAAAGUUUCCAUUGCACUUAACCUUAAGAAGGCCAACCUUUGUACCAAAAUGGGUUCCAUUUGUUUGUUUUUGUUAUGCUUCGGUUAGUUUGACCUUUGAUAUUUUCAUAUAUCAACAAAUAACUAAGUUUAAUAC